Homo sapiens (human) is the source of this 3183-nucleotide long non-coding RNA. Lineage: Eukaryota; Metazoa; Chordata; Mammalia; Primates; Hominidae. The record is from Ensembl.
AGUACUAUGUUGAAGAGGAGUGGUGAGAGUAGGCUCCUCGUCUUGUUCCAGUUCUCAAAGGGAAUGCUUUCACCGUUUCCCCAUUCAGUAUUAUGUUGGUUGUGGGUUUGUCAUAGAUGGCUUUUAUUACAUUAAGGGAUCAUGGCACAAGUUGCAGUUUCCACCCUGCCAAUGGAAGAUGAGGAGUCCAUGGAAGAUGAGGAGUCCAUUGAAGAUGAGGAGUCUGUUGAAGAUGAUUCCGUGGAGAGCAGGAUGGUGGUAACAUUUCUCAUAUCAGCUCUCGAGUCCACGAUGUUGGAAUUUCUGAUGAAUCUGCAGUCAGCAUUUUGCAUGAACUGUGUGUGGAUUCAUUGCCUACAUUGGAUGAUGAAGUCUUGAGUGUUGCUACUAAGGCCCUGGUGUGUGAUGUUCCCCAUCCUGUGUCCAAGUCUUCUCAUUGUUCAGUUCCCACCUAUGAGUGAGAACAUGUGGUGUUUGGUUUUCUGUCCUUGCAACAGUUUGCUCAGAAUGAUGGUUUCCAGCUUCAUCCAUGUCCCUACAAAGGACAUGAACUCAUCAUUUUUUAUGCUGCAUAGUAUUCCAUGCAGUAUGUCCCGGAGAAAGUGUCAGAGCCUUUACGUGGACCUUCUCAUGAAAAAGGAAACAGAAUAGUCAAUGGAAAAGGAAAAGGGCCUCCUGCAAAACAUCCUUCCUUGAAGCCUAGCACUGAAGUGGAAGAUCCUGCUGUGAAAGGAGCAGUACAAAGAAAGAAUGUACAGACAUUGAGAGCAGAACAAACCUUACCAGUGGCUUUAGAGGAAGAGCAAGAAAGGUGUGAAAGAAGUGAAAAGAAGCAAUCACAGGUCAAAGAAGGAAAUAAUACAAACAAAAGUGAAAAAAAUACAACUAUCAGAAAAUGUAUGUCAUAGUACAUCUUCUGCUGCUGCUGACAGAUUAACCAAACAAAGAAAGGUUGGGAAAACGUAUCCUCGGCAAUUUCCCAAGAAACUGAAGGAAGAGCAUGAUAGAUGCAUCUUAAGACAAGAAAGUGAAGAAAAAACAAAUGUUAAUAUGCUGUACAAAAAAAUAGAGAAGAAUUAGAAAGGAAAGAGAAACAAUAUAAGAAAGAAGUUGAAGCAAAACAACUUGAACCAACUGUUCAAUCACUAGAGAUGAAACUGAAGACUACAAGAAAUACUCCAAAUCAGAUAAAUCAAUCUUUGGAUUUUCAUAAUCACGAAGAAAUGAAAGAUCUGAUGGAUGAAAAUUGCAUUUUGAAGACAGAUAUUGCUAUACUCAGACAGGAAAUAUGCACAAUGAAAAAUGACAACCUGGAAAAAGAAAAUAAAUAUCUUAAGGACGUUAAAAUUGUUAAAAAAACAAAUGCUGCCCUUGAAAACUAUAUAAAACUCAAUGAGGAAUUGAUAACAAAAACAGCAUUCCGGUAUCAACAAGAGCUUAAUGAUCUCAAAGCUGAGAAUACAAGGCUCAAUUCCGAACUGUUGAAGGAAGAAGAAAGCAACAAAAGACUGGAAGCUGAAAUUGAAUCAUCAGUCUACACUGACUGCUGCUAUAAGUAAACACAGUGAAAGUGUGAAAACAGAAAGAAACCUAAAACUUGCAUUAGAGUGAACACAAGACGUUUCCGUACAAGUAAAAAUGAGUUCUGAUAUUUCCGAAGUAGAAGAUAAGAAUGAAUUUCUUACUGAACAACUUUCUAAAACGCAAAUUAAAUUCAAUACCUUAAAAGAUAAGUUCCAUAAGAAAAGAGAUACUCUCAGAAAAAAGUCAUUGGCUUUAGAAACUCUCCAAACGACCUAAGACAAACACAGCAGCAAAUAAAGGAAAUGAAAGAGAUGUAUGAAAAUGCAGAAGCUAAAGUGAAUAAUUCCACUGGAAAGUGGAGCUGUGUAGAAGAGCGGAUAUGUCAACUCCAACAUGAAAAUCCGUGCAUUGAACAGCAACUAGAUGAUGUUCAUCAGAAAGAGGAUCAUAAAGAGAUAGUAACUAAUAUCCAAAGAGGCUUUAUUGAGAGUGGAAAGAAAGACCUCAUGCUAGAAGAGAAAAAUAAGAAACUAAUGAAUGAAUGUGAUCAUUUAAAAGAAAGUCUCUUUCAAUAUGAGAGAGAGAAAGCAGAAAGAGUAGUGGUUGUGAGACAACUUCAACAAGAAGCGGCUGACAGCCUAAAAAAAUUAACUAUGUUAGAGUCUCCAUUGGAAGGUAUAUCACAUUAUCACAUUAAUUUGGAUGAGACACAGGUCCCAAAGAAGAAAUUAUUUCAAGUGGAAAGUCAAUUUGAUGAUCUUAUGGCGGAGAAGGAAGCUGUAUCUUCAAAAUGUGUCAAUUUGGCUAAAGAGAAUCAAGUUUUUCAACAGGAGUUAUUAUCUAUGAAAAAAGUACAACAGGAAUGUGAAAAACUUGAGGAGGAUAAAAAGAUGUUGGAAGAAGAAAUAUUAAAUCUUAAGACACAUAUGGAAAACAGUAUGGUAGAACUUAGUAAACUACAAGAAUAUAAAUCAGAGCUAGAUGAAAGGGCAAUGCAGGCAGUAGAAAAAUUAGAAGAAAUCCAUUUACAGGAACAAGCACAACAUAAAAAACAAUUAGAGCAGUUAAACAAGGAUAUAAUACAGCUUCACUAAAUAAGAAGGAACUCACACUUAAAGAUGUGGAAUGUAAAUUCUACAAAAUGAAAACUGCUUAUGAAGAGGUUACAACUGAGUUAGAAGAAUAUAAGGAAGCCUUUGCAGCAGCAUUGAAAGCUAAUAGUUCCAUGUCAAAAAAAUUAACUAAAUCGAAUAAGAAAAUAGCAAUGAUCAGUAUCAGCUCUUUAUGGAGAAAGAGCAGGUGAAAUAUUUUCUCAGCACUCUUCCUAGAAGGCAAGGUCAAGAGUCACCUUGUGUUGAAAAUCUUACUAGUAUAGGACUCAACAGAAAAUAUAUUCCCCAAAUGCCCAUAAGAAUUCCUACUUCAAACCUCAGACUUCAAAUAACUGCCAGAACUACUUGACUGAGCUGUUGCUGUACUGGACACUUGCUCCCAUCUACUUUCUUCUCUGGAAUCCACGGGUAAGCCACAUCUAAUGAAGAGAAUAUUUAACCAUAAAGUCUUAAGGAAAAAUUGUAUGAUGAUUUAAAAGAUUAUAAAACUUUAUUACUGGGCUAUUUACACAUUUUAAUUGUUUCUCAUAAAAUAUAUAAAAUUCCA